GACGAACGCUGGCGGCGCGCCUAACACAUGCAAGUCGAACGAGCGAGAGAGAGCUUGCUUUCUCGAGCGAGUGGCGAACGGGUGAGUAACGCGUGAGGAACCUGCCUCAAAGAGGGGGACAACAGUUGGAAACGACUGCUAAUACCGCAUGAUACUUUUUGGGGGCAUCCCCGAAAAGUCAAAGCUUUAUGUGCUGAAAGAUGGUCUCGCGUCUGAUUAGCUAGUUGGUGAGGUAAUGGCUCACCAAGGCGACGAUCAGUAGCCGGUCUGAGAGGAUGAACGGCCACAUUGGGACUGAGAUACGGCCCAG
This 310-nucleotide ribosomal RNA is filed under the name uncultured bacterium. RNAcentral describes it as "bacterial SSU rRNA". It matches the Rfam family "Bacterial small subunit ribosomal RNA", at positions 28 to 334 of the family's 1533-position model. The record is from RNAcentral.